Molecule: ribosomal RNA, 460 nt
Filed under: uncultured bacterium
Lineage: Bacteria
Description: partial 16S ribosomal RNA
Rfam family: Bacterial small subunit ribosomal RNA
Source: RNAcentral
CCUACGGGAGGCAGCAGUGAGGAAUAUUGGUCAAUGGACGAGCGUCUGAACCAGCCAAGUAGCGUGAAGGAUGACUGCCCUAUGGGUUGUAAACUUCUUUUAUAAAGGAAUAAAACGAGGCACGUGUGCCUUUUUGCAUGUACUUUAUGAAUAAGGAUCGGCUAACUCCGUGCCAGCAGCCGCGGUACUACGGAGGAUCCGAGCGUUAUCCGGAUUUAUUGGGUUUAAAGGGAGCGUAGAUGGGUUGUUAAGUCAGUUGUGAAAGUUUGCGGCUCAACCGUAAAAUUGCAAUUGAUACUGGCAGUCGUGAGUACAGUUGAGGUAGGCGGAAUUCGUGGUGUAGCGGUGAAAUGCUUAGAUAUCACGAAGAACCCCGAUUGCGAAGGCAGCUUACUAAACUGUGACUGACAUUGAUGCUCGAAAGUGUGGGUAUCAAACAGGAUUAGAUACCCCUGUAGUC